Molecule: ribosomal RNA, 396 nt
Filed under: uncultured bacterium
Lineage: Bacteria
Description: partial 16S ribosomal RNA
Rfam family: Bacterial small subunit ribosomal RNA
Source: RNAcentral
AUACGUAGGGAGCGAGCGUUGUCCGGAAUUACUGGGUGUAAAGGGAGCGUAGGCGGGAGUGCAAGUCAGAUGUGAAAUACAUGGGCUCAACCCAUGGGCUGCAUUUGAAACUGCAUUUCUUGAGUGAAGUAGAGGUAAGCGGAAUUCCUGGUGUAGCGGUGAAAUGCGUAGAUAUCAGGAGGAACACCGGUGGCGAAGGCGGCUUACUGGGCUUUUACUGACGAUGAGGCUCGAAAGCGUGGGGAGCAAACAGGAUUAGAUACCCUGGUAGUCCACGCUGUAAACGAUGAUUACUAGGUGUGGGGGGACUGACCCCUUCCGUGCCGCAGUUAACACAAUAAGUAAUCCACCUGGGGAGUACGGCCGCAAGGUUGAAACUCAAAUGAAUUGACGGGG